GGAAACAGGUGCAGUUGUAUGGUCAGGUGAUAUUGAAAACAUUCUAAUCGCAGGCGUGCCCAGGUACCACGCUAUAUUCGGCCAGUCUCUAUGGCUACGCCACGGAGCAACCGCUCCUCACCGCCAUUGCCUGUGCGGUUUCUAACAGCUCCUCAUGAAGACCAAAUACCGCCAAUAGAAGAGGCACAAGCUCUUUCACCAGCAGUAGAGGUGGCUAGGGCGGAAGAGGAG
Bombina bombina (fire-bellied toad) is the source of this 231-nucleotide long non-coding RNA. RefSeq lists it as uncharacterized. NCBI's taxonomy places the organism in Eukaryota, Metazoa, Chordata, Amphibia, Anura, Bombinatoridae. The record is from RefSeq and is a predicted model, not a curated record. The transcript is spliced from 3 exons.